This 274-nucleotide ribosomal RNA is filed under the name uncultured bacterium. Its description in RNAcentral is "partial 16S ribosomal RNA". It matches the Rfam family "Bacterial small subunit ribosomal RNA", at positions 523 to 796 of the family's 1533-position model. The record is from RNAcentral.
AUACGAAGGGGGCUAGCGUUGUUUGGAAUCACUGGGCGUAAAGCGCGCGUAGGUGGAUCAAUUAGUUGAGGGUGAAAUCCCGGGGCUCAACCUCGGAACUGCCUUCAAUACUGUUGAUCUUGAGACCGAGAGAGGUGAGUGGAAUUCCUAGUGUAGAGGUGAAAUUCGUAGAUAUUAGGAAGAACACCAGUGGCGAAGGCGGCUCACUGGCUCGGUACUGACGCUGAGGUGCGAAAGCGUGGGGAGCAAACAGGAUUAGAAACCCCAGUAGUCC